ACCUCUCGGGCGGGCUCUCCUUGGCCGUGACGGGCUCGACGGCGGCGAGCUUGGCGAGCGGGAUCAUGACCUUGUAGUAGCUCCAGGCGGUCUGGCCGGACGGCGCGGCGAAGGAGAGCGGGCGGUCGCUGCAGAAGGCGACGUUGGUGUUGGUGAGGUAGAGCGUGCCGGCGACGGGGCCCGUGGCCGUGGAGAGGUAGCAGGCGAACGUCUUCUUCACGUGCUCGUCGGGGCCGGAGCCGAAGGUCUGCUUGUAGAGCUUCUCGAAGCCGCCCCCCG
RNAcentral lists this long non-coding RNA (279 nucleotides) under Hordeum vulgare. RNAcentral describes it as "long non-coding RNA (HVUL_LNC014278)". Lineage: Eukaryota; Viridiplantae; Streptophyta; Magnoliopsida; Poales; Poaceae. The record is from RNAcentral.